Molecule: ribosomal RNA, 253 nt
Filed under: uncultured bacterium
Lineage: Bacteria
Description: partial 16S ribosomal RNA
Rfam family: Bacterial small subunit ribosomal RNA
Source: RNAcentral
UACGUAGGGUGCAAGCGUUAAUCGGAAUUACUGGGCGUAAAGCGUGCGCAGGCGGUUCUGUAAGACAGAUGUGAAAUCCCCGGGCUCAACCUGGGAACUGCAUUUGUGACUGCAUAGCUAGAGUACGGUAGAGGGGGAUGGAAUUCCGCGUGUAGCAGUGAAAUGCGUAGAUAUGCGGAGGAACACCGGUGGCGAAGGCGGCAUCCUGGACCAACACUGACGCUGAGGAGCGAAAGCGUGGGGAGCGAACAGG